RNAcentral lists this ribosomal RNA (168 nucleotides) under uncultured organism. Its description in RNAcentral is "partial 16S ribosomal RNA". It matches the Rfam family "Bacterial small subunit ribosomal RNA", at positions 1336 to 1504 of the family's 1533-position model. The record is from RNAcentral.
CGGCGUGGAUUAGGCAUGCCACGGUGAAUACGUUCCCAGGCCUUGUACACACCGCCCGUCACACCAUGGGAGUUGGAUUCACCCGAAGGCGUUGCGCUAACUCGCAAGAGAGGCAGGCGACCACGGUGGGUUUAGCGACUGGGGUGAAGUCGUAACAAGGUAGCCGUA